This is a non-coding RNA of Falco tinnunculus (common kestrel), 137 nucleotides long. NCBI's taxonomy places the organism in Eukaryota, Metazoa, Chordata, Aves, Falconiformes, Falconidae. The record is from Ensembl.
GUGGCUGCCUUCACUGUGGGCUGCAUUUGUGAGCGAUGGAAUGCAGCCGUAAGCAGCCACAAACAGUAAAGCAAAUGGUUCCUGCCGACAGUGUCUGUAGAGCUAUCAGAUUUUUCUGUGCGAUGGUUCCAUACACU